GAUGAACGCUAGCGGCAGGCUUAAUACAUACAAGUCGUGGGGCAGCAUGAGUAGCAAUACUUGAUGGCGACCGGCAAACGGGUGCGGAACACGUACACAACCUUCCGAUAAGUGGGGAAUAGCCCAGAGAAAUUUGGAUUAAUACCCCGUAACAUAUAGAGUAGGCAUCUUCUUUAUAUUAUAGCUUCGGCGCUUAUUGAUGGGUGUGCGUCUGAUUAGGUAGUUGGCGGGGUAACGGCCCACCAAGCCUACGAUCAGUAGCUGAUGUGAGAGCAUGAUCAGCCACACGGGCACUGAGACACGGGCCCGACUCCUACGGGAGGCAGCAGUAAGGAAUAUUGGACAAUGGGCGAAAGCCUGAUCCAGCCAUUCCGCGUGCAGGAUGAGGGCCCUCGGGUUGUAAACUGCUUUUGUACAGAACGAAAAGGUUUCUACUAAUACUAGGAGCUCAUGACGGUACUGUAAGAAUAAGCACCGGCUAACUACGUGCCAGCCGCCGCCGUAA
This 505-nucleotide ribosomal RNA is filed under the name uncultured bacterium. Its description in RNAcentral is "partial 16S ribosomal RNA". It matches the Rfam family "Bacterial small subunit ribosomal RNA", at positions 28 to 523 of the family's 1533-position model. The record is from RNAcentral.